UCGACCUUAGUUGCCAGCAUUCAGUUGGGCACUCUAAGGUGACUGCCGGCUAAAAAGUCGGAGGAAGGUGGGGAUGACGUCAAAUCAUCAUGCCCCUUAUGACCUGGGCUACACACGUGCUACAAUGGGCGGUACAAAGGGUCGCGAACCCGCGAGGGGGAGCCAAUCCCAAAAAGCCGCUCUCAGUUCGGAUUGCAGGCUGCAACUCGCCUGCAUGAAGCCGGAAUCGCUAGUAAUCGCGGAUCAGCAUGCCGCGGUGAAUACGUUCCCGGGCCUU
This 277-nucleotide ribosomal RNA is filed under the name uncultured Anoxybacillus sp. RNAcentral describes it as "partial 16S ribosomal RNA". It matches the Rfam family "Bacterial small subunit ribosomal RNA", at positions 1105 to 1382 of the family's 1533-position model. The record is from RNAcentral. Lineage: Bacteria; Bacillati; Bacillota; Bacilli; Caryophanales; Anoxybacillaceae.